ACAUUAGAUACCCGGGUAGUCCUAGCCGUAAACGAUACUCGCUAGGUGUCAGCCACGGUGCGACCGUUGUCGGUGCCGUAGGGAAGCCGUGAAGCGAGCCACCUGGGAAGUACGGCCGCAAGGCUGAAACUUAAAGGAAUUGGCGGGGGAGCACCACAACGGGUGGAGCUUGCGGUUUAAUUGGAUUCAACGCCGGAAAUCUUACCGGGACCGACAGCAAUAUGAAGGCCAGGCUGAAGACUUUGCCGGAUUAGCUG
RNAcentral lists this ribosomal RNA (257 nucleotides) under uncultured archaeon. Its description in RNAcentral is "partial 16S ribosomal RNA". It matches the Rfam family "Archaeal small subunit ribosomal RNA", at positions 726 to 982 of the family's 1478-position model. The record is from RNAcentral.